RNAcentral lists this ribosomal RNA (563 nucleotides) under uncultured Geopora. RNAcentral describes it as "eukaryotic LSU rRNA". The stretch from base 203 to 356 matches the Rfam family "5.8S ribosomal RNA". Lineage: Eukaryota; Fungi; Ascomycota; Pezizomycetes; Pezizales; Pyronemataceae. The record is from RNAcentral.
GUUUCUCAGCAUGAUAUUUCAACCCCACCCGUGUAUCUUACCUGUUGCUUCCGUGCCGCGCAUGCUGCAAAACGUGUGCCCUCCGGUCUAAAGUACAUACCCACAGUACUCCCGGCGACCCUAGGGAGCUGGCACGGGAGGUAAACCACAAACUCUUGCCCUCGAAUGCCUUCUGUCUGAACUGUAGUACCUGAAAAGUUAAAACUUUCAACAACGGAUCUCUUGGUUCUCGUAUCGAUGAAGAACGCAGCGAAAUGCGAUAAGUAGUGUGAAUUGCAGAAUUCCGUGAAUCAUCGAAUCUUUGAACGCACAUUGCGCCUCCUGGUAAUCCGCGAGGCAUGCCUGUUCGAGCGUCACUAAAGUCAACUCGACCACUUUGGUGGUUGGUUAUGGAGGAAGAGUCCGUCAUGCUUCUGUCUCCCCUCCCAAAAUCAACGGCGGAAAGUCACUGGCACGCGGCGUAGUAUUAUUAUUCGCCGAUUACCCAUUGUCGUUCCUGCCACCAAACCCCCACAAUUCUGUCGAUUGACCUCGGAUCAGGUAGGGAUACCCGCUGAACUUAA